This is a non-coding RNA of Triticum aestivum (bread wheat), 135 nucleotides long. The record is from Rfam. Lineage: Eukaryota; Viridiplantae; Streptophyta; Magnoliopsida; Poales; Poaceae.
UACAUACUUCUUCCGUUCGGAAAUACUUUUCAUCAAGAUGAAUAAAAAUAGAUGUAUCUAGAUGUAUUUUAGUUCUAGAUACAUCCUUUUUUAUCAAUUUGGAUGAUAAGUAUUUCCGGACGAAGGGAGCAGUAG